CCUACGGGAGGCAGCAGUGGGGAAUUUUGGACAAUGGGCGCAAGCCUGAUCCAGCAAUGCCGCGUGCAGGAUGAAGGCCUUCGGGUUGUAAACUGCUUUUGUACGGAGCGAAACGGUCUGCUUUAAUACAGUGGGCUAAUGACGGUACCGUAAGAAUAAGCACCGGCUAACUACGUGCCAGCAGCCGCGGUAAUACGUAGGGUGCGAGCGUUAAUCGGAAUUACUGGGCGUAAAGCGUGCGCAGGCGGUUAUAUAAGACAGAUGUGAAAUCCCCGGGCUCAACCUGGGACCUGCAUUUGUGACUGUAUAGCUAGAGUAUGGUAGAGGGGGAUGGAAUUCCGCGUGUAGCAGUGAAAUGCGUAGAUAUGCGGAGGAACACCGAUGGCGAAGGCAAUCCCCUGGACCUGUACUGACGCUCAUGCACGAAAGCGUGGGGAGCAAACAGGAUUAGAUACCCUGGUAGUCCACGCCCUAAACGAUGUCAACUGGUUGUUGGGUCUUCACUGACUCAGUAACGAAGCUAACGCGUGAAGUUGACCGCCUGGGGAGUCGGCCGCAAGGUUGAAACGUUAAAGGAAUUGACGG
This 585-nucleotide ribosomal RNA is filed under the name uncultured bacterium. RNAcentral describes it as "bacterial SSU rRNA". It matches the Rfam family "Bacterial small subunit ribosomal RNA", at positions 338 to 916 of the family's 1533-position model. The record is from RNAcentral.